UGCAAGUCGAACGGCAGCAUGAUCUAGCUUGCUAGAUUGAUGGCGAGUGGCGAACGGGUGAGUAAUACAUCGGAACGUGCCCUGUAGUGGGGGAUAACUAGUCGAAAGAUUAGCUAAUACCGCAUACGACCUGAGGGUGAAAGUGGGGGACCGCAAGGCCUCAUGCUAUAGGAGCGGCCGAUGUCUGAUUAGCUAGUUGGUGAGGUAAAGGCUCACCAAGGCGACGAUCAGUAGCUGGUCUGAGAGGACGAUCAGCCACACUGGGACUGAGACACGGCCCAGACUCCUACGGGAGGCAGCAGUGGGGAAUUUUGGACAAUGGGCGAAAGCCUGAUCCAGCAAUGCCGCGUGUGUGAAGAAGGCCUUCGGGUUGUAAAGCACUUUUGUCCGGAAAGAAAUGGCUCUGGUUAAUACCUGGGGUCGAUGACGGUACCGGAAGAAUAAGGACCGGCUAACUACGUGCCAGCAGCCGCGGUAAUACGUAGGGUCCAAGCGUUAAUCGGAAUUACUGGGCGUAAAGCGUGCGCAGGCGGUUGUGCAAGACCGAUGUGAAAUCCCCGAGCUUAACUUGGGAAUUGCAUUGGUGACUGCACGGCUAGAGUGUGUCAGAGGGGGGUAGAAUUCCACGUGUAGCAGUGAAAUGCGUAGAGAUGUGGAGGAAUACCGAUGGCGAAGGCAGCCCCCUGGGAUAACACUGACGCUCAUGCACGAAAGCGUGGGGAGCAAACAGGAUUAGAUACCCUGGUAGUCCACGCCCUAAACGAUGUCAACUAGUUGUUGGGGAUUCAUUUCCUUAGUAACGUAGCUAACGCGUGAAGUUGACCGCCUGGGGAGUACGGUCGCAAGAUUAAAACUCAAAGGAAUUGACGGGGACCCGCACAAGCGGUGGAUGAUGUGGAUUAAUUCGAUGCAACGCGAAAAACCUUACCUACCCUUGACAUGCCACUAACGAAGCA
Molecule: ribosomal RNA, 956 nt
Filed under: bacterium enrichment culture clone PCE1_B2
Lineage: Bacteria
Description: bacterial SSU rRNA
Rfam family: Bacterial small subunit ribosomal RNA
Source: RNAcentral